RNAcentral lists this ribosomal RNA (497 nucleotides) under uncultured bacterium. RNAcentral describes it as "bacterial SSU rRNA". It matches the Rfam family "Bacterial small subunit ribosomal RNA", at positions 28 to 484 of the family's 1533-position model. The record is from RNAcentral.
GACGAACGCUGGCGGCGUGCCUAAUACAUGCAAGUCGAACGCACUCUCGUUUAGAUUGAAGGAGCUUGCUCCUGAUUGAUAAACAUUUGAGUGAGUGGCGGACGGGUGAGUAACACGUGGGUAACCUGCCCUAAAGUGGGGGAUAACAUUUGGAAACAGAUGCUAAUACCGCAUAAAACCUAACACCGCAUGGUGUAGGGUUGAAAGAUGGUUUCGGCUAUCACUUUAGGAUGGACCCGCGGUGCAUUAGUUAGUUGGUGAGGUAAAGGCUCACCAAGACCGUGAUGCAUAGCCGACCUGAGAGGGUAAUCGGCCACACUGGGACUGAGACACGGCCCAGACUCCUACGGGAGGCAGCAGUAGGGAAUCUUCCACAAUGGACGAAAGUCUGAUGGAGCAACGCCGCGUGAGUGAAGAAGGUUUUCGGAUCGUAAAACUCUGUUGUUGGAGAAGAAUGUAUCUGAUAGUAACUGAUCAGGUAGUGACGGUAUCCAACC